Molecule: transfer RNA, 71 nt
Filed under: Cordylochernes scorpioides
Lineage: Eukaryota; Metazoa; Arthropoda; Arachnida; Pseudoscorpiones; Chernetidae
Description: tRNA-Gly
Rfam family: tRNA
About the family: Transfer RNA (tRNA) molecules are approximately 80 nucleotides in length. Their secondary structure includes four short double-helical elements and three loops (D, anti-codon, and T loops). Further hydrogen bonds mediate the characteristic L-shaped molecular structure. tRNAs have two regions of fundamental functional importance: the anti-codon, which is responsible for specific mRNA codon recognition, and the 3' end, to which the tRNAs corresponding amino acid is attached (by aminoacyl-tRNA synthetases). tRNAs cope with the degeneracy of the genetic code in two manners: having more than one tRNA (with a specific anti-codon) for a particular amino acid; and 'wobble' base-pairing, i.e. permitting non-standard base-pairing at the 3rd anti-codon position.
Source: RNAcentral
GCAUCGGUGGUUCAGUGGUAGAAUGCUCGCCAGCCAAGCGGGCGGCACGGGUUCGAUUCCCGGCCGAUGCA